Heterocephalus glaber (naked mole-rat) is the source of this 270-nucleotide non-coding RNA. The record is from RefSeq and is a predicted model, not a curated record. NCBI's taxonomy places the organism in Eukaryota, Metazoa, Chordata, Mammalia, Rodentia, Bathyergidae.
CAGAUGUGUUUUGCAUACAUUUCCUAUGUGUCAGGAAAGCUGAACUCAUCACAGAGCUCCGGUUUCUUUUGAGUGAAUUCUGAAUGAAUAAUUUUAGAAUGACCUGGCAUAAAUUUCAAGAUCUGAAGGACAUUUGAUUAUACUAUCAAGAGUGCAUAGUCAAAUGAGCAACUGGAAGGAAAGAGCUGAUGUAAAUGAAGAGAGCAAAGACUGAGGUGAAACACAUUUGAAAGGAAGUUCAAGUUCAGGUUUGGAACUGUUGCUCUUAAG